RNAcentral lists this long non-coding RNA (542 nucleotides) under Fukomys damarensis (Damara mole-rat). RNAcentral's name for it is "lncRNA (ENSFDAG00000031200.1)". The record is from RNAcentral. Lineage: Eukaryota; Metazoa; Chordata; Mammalia; Rodentia; Bathyergidae.
CAGCUCCAGCCACAGGGAAGGGUUUCUUCCCAAGACAGUGGCAUGUUCUUAGAGUGGAGCCACCCAGAGGAGCCUGUCCUACAUGAAGACAUAGCAGGUGGACCUCGGGGGAAGCCAGCAGCGUCUUCUAACUGUGAAGACACGGGGAGGCCAGCUGUGAGGGCAGCAGGAGGAGGAAGACGGGGGCUCGCACACGGGCAAGGCAAACAGCUCUUAAGAACCCAGGAUAAAAUGAAGGGACAGGAAGAAGCACAUCACCAAGGGUGCAUCUUGGAAGAGCAGCAUUAUCCAGAUGGAAACGCACAGAUUUGACAAGUAAAUGAAAAGUCCAUGGAACUCGAUGCAGAGAGAGUGGAGCUGAGGCUCUGAGCAGACUCAUUGCAGGCAAGAGCUGAUGGAAGUCCAUGAGUGGGAGGCUCAAGGGGUCUUGGUGGCCUCCACACUCAGUCAAGAGCCGAGAUCCAUGGAGACAAGCAGGUCAGGCCAGGCCCAAGUCACACAUCCAAGAUUACAGUACAAAAUAAAACCAGCCCAAGACAAGA